This 256-nucleotide ribosomal RNA is filed under the name uncultured bacterium. RNAcentral's name for it is "partial 16S ribosomal RNA". It matches the Rfam family "Bacterial small subunit ribosomal RNA", at positions 793 to 1055 of the family's 1533-position model. The record is from RNAcentral.
GUCCACGCCGUAAACGAUGGAUACUAGUUGUUGGGCGUAAGUUCAGUGGCUAAGCGAAAGUGAUAAGUAUCCCACCUGGGGAGUACGUUCGCAAGAAUGAAACUCAAAGGAAUUGACGGGGGCCCCGCACAAGCGGAGGAACAUGUGGUUUAAUUCGAUGAUACGCGAGGAACCUUACCAGGGCUUAAAUGUAGUUUGACCGAUUUGGAAACAGAUCUUUCGCAAGACAAAUUACAAGGUGCUGCAUGGUUGUCGU